This 460-nucleotide ribosomal RNA is filed under the name uncultured bacterium. RNAcentral's name for it is "partial 16S ribosomal RNA". It matches the Rfam family "Bacterial small subunit ribosomal RNA", at positions 338 to 795 of the family's 1533-position model. The record is from RNAcentral.
CCUACGGGGGGCUGCAGGGAGGAAUAUUGGGCAAUGGGCGCGAGCCUGAACAAGCAAAGUAGCGGGAAGGAUGACAGCCCGACGGGUGGUAAACUUCGUUUAUAAAGGAAUAAAGUGAGGCACGUGUGCCUUCUUGUAUGUACGUUAUGAAUAAGGAUCGGCUAACUCCGUGCCCGCAGCCGCGGUAAUCCGGAGGAGCCGAGCGUUAUCCGGAUUUGUUGGGUUUAAAGGGAGCGUAGGUGUGUUGUUAAGUCAGUUGUGAAAGUUUGCGGCUCAACCGUAAAAUUGCAAUUGAUACUGGCAGUCUUGAGUACAGUUGAGGUAGGCGGAAUUCCUUUUGUAGCGGUGAAAUGCGUAGAUAUCAGGAAGAACACCAGUGGCGAAGGCGGCUGACUGGACGGCAACUGACGGUGAGGCGCGAAAGCGUGGGGAGCAAACAGGAUUAGAUACCCGAGUAGUC